This 332-nucleotide unclassified non-coding RNA is filed under the name soil metagenome. RNAcentral's name for it is "partial contains 5.8S ribosomal RNA, internal transcribed spacer 2, and large subunit ribosomal RNA". The stretch from base 1 to 120 matches the Rfam family "5.8S ribosomal RNA", at positions 35 to 154 of the family's 154-position model. The record is from RNAcentral.
GACGAAGAACGCAGCGAAAUGCGAUAAGUAGUGUGAAUUGCAGAAUUCAGUGAAUCAUCGAAUCUUUGAACGCACAUUGCGCCCUUUGGUAUUCCUUAGGGCAUGCCUGUUCGAGCGUCAUUUAAACCUUCAAGCUCAGCUUGGUGUUGGGUGACUGUCCGCUUCACCGCGGACUCGCCUCAAAAUUAUUGGCGGCCGGUACAUUGGCUUCGAGCGCAGCAGAAACGCGAACUCGGGCCCGUCGUAUUGGCUCCCAGAAGCUAUCUUCACAAUUUUGACCUCGGAUCAGGUAGGGAUACCCGCUGAACUUAAGCAUAUCAAUAAGCGGAGGA